AAGCUUCGAACAAGGUCAAAGACGUUGUUCAGACGUUGCUGCUGUGGCUUAGGAGAGGAGCAGCCCAGUCUGACUCGUGGAUUUUUACCCACUGCUGUCAGAACACACUUUCUGUUAGAAUCCCCCAAGACCUCAGACCUACAGCCUGCCCCUUAGGUGGUUCACUGUCUUCAUCGAAACGUUUGCCGCCGAGUCGCACGUCCUUGGCACCAAAAAGCGUUGAGUCCAUUUUUCAAAGCUCUAAUGUGCUCUUUAAAACACAGUUAUAUACGUGAAAUUCCGGUAAUAAGGGACAAAAUGGUUAAGCUCUUGAUUUGAGACUAAGGAUGGAGAUGGGGCCAUUUAGAAUGCCCAGAUUCAAGAGGCAAGUAGAAAGGAGAGUUGACGAAGGGUCCCGAGCAGGGACAGCUGGAAAAGCAGAGCUGGUGGAACUUGGAGAGCUGUGGCUUCCUGUGGUUGUUGAAGGUGACGGUCAUCUUGAUCCUGGCUGGGCAGUGCUGGAGCAGCUUCCCCACCUGGGGAUCUCACUGGCUAUCCUUCUCCUCAACUUGGAUGUUUAGUUGUCUUUUUAUUUCUUUGUUUAUUGUUGCUAUUGGCUUUGUUUGUGGGUUUAUUUCUUAUUUUGGGACUUUUAGCACAUAAAGUUGGAGAUAAUGAAUGGGAACAGAAUGGGAAAGAGUGGAUAUAAUGAUACACCACAUACCCAUCACCUACUUUCAAUAAUUACCUACACUUUCCCAGUCUUCUUCCAUGUAUUCCCCAUACUCUAUUGUCUAUUUUUCUGGAGAAUUUUGAAGUAAAUCUAAUAUAUCA
Long non-coding RNA from Homo sapiens (human), 813 nucleotides. Ensembl annotates it as long intergenic non-protein coding RNA 2828. The record is from Ensembl. NCBI's taxonomy places the organism in Eukaryota, Metazoa, Chordata, Mammalia, Primates, Hominidae.